GACGAACGCUGGCGGCGUGCCUAAUACAUGCAAGUCGAGCGAGCGGAACUAACAGAUUUACCUCGGUAAUGACGCUAGGAAAGCGAGCGGCGGAUGGGUGAGUAACACGUGGGGAACCUGCCCCAUAGUCUGGGAUACCACUUGGAAACAGGUGCUAAUACCGGAUAAGAAAGCAGAUCGCAUGAUCAGCUUUUAAAAGGCGGCGUAAGCUGUCGCUAUGGGAUGGCCCCGCGGUGCAUUAGCUAGUUGGUAAGGUAAAGGCUUACCAAGGCGAUGGUGCAUAGCCGAAUUGAGAGACUGAGCGGCCACAGUGGGACUGAGACACGGCCCAAGCUCCUACGGGAGGCAGCAGUAGGGAAUCUUACACAAUGGACGCAAGUCUGAUGGAGCAGCGCCGCGUGAGUGAAGAAGAUUUUCGGAUCGUAAAGCUCUGUUGUUGGUGAAGAAGGAUAGGGGUAGUAGCUGGCCUUUAUUUGACGGUAAUCGACCAGAAAGUCACGGCUAACUACGUG
This 512-nucleotide ribosomal RNA is filed under the name uncultured bacterium. RNAcentral describes it as "partial 16S ribosomal RNA". It matches the Rfam family "Bacterial small subunit ribosomal RNA", at positions 28 to 507 of the family's 1533-position model. The record is from RNAcentral.